AAGGAUCAUUACCACACCUCAAAACGAAAGCCAAGCUCUGGUCGCAAGAUCCGGGCGAGGUGAGUCCCGUGGAUUUAUUCACACACUUUUCGAUCUACUUUGCAGUCAGUAUUCAUCUCUUUAUCGAGUGAAUGCGAGCUCAGAGUAGGUCCAAAAACAAACUAAUUUUCUUCCACUUUUUCGAAAGUGCGAUUAAAAUCCAAACAUCCUGUUUACGAACUCAUUCAAAAGUAAAGCGAGAGAAUCAGGAAGCUUCGGUGACUUGCAUGAUCUCCUCUACGAAAAUGAAGUAACGUUAACACUUUCAGCAACGGAUGUCUUGGCUCCC
RNAcentral lists this unclassified non-coding RNA (328 nucleotides) under uncultured fungus. RNAcentral describes it as "partial contains 18S rRNA, ITS1, 5.8S rRNA, ITS2 and 28S rRNA". Lineage: Eukaryota; Fungi. The record is from RNAcentral.